GUGAAGUGGUGGACGACCCAAAGUCUCGUUACAACAGUUAUCCUCUUUUUAGAAUAUUGCUUAAUAUACAGCAGUCCGCACAGCAGGCCUGGUUUAUGCAUUGGAUGAUCGGCAAAGAAACACUGCAGGAUCUUCCAUGGUACAAAGGACGGUUUUGAAGGUUGACGUUUCAUGCCAUAAAUGCAAGAAGAAGAUUCUCAAGGCUGUCUCUGACAUUGAUGGUGUAGAUAAGAUAGAAGUUGACGAAGGGAAGGGGACAUUGACGGUAACAGGAAGUGCAGAUCCAUAUGAGAUAAUAGUACGCACAAGAAAAGCAGGAAAACAUGUAGAGGUAGUGACUAUUGGGCCGCCUCCUCCACCACCUAAACAGCCACAGGCACAGGAUCAGCAAAAGAAGCCAGAGGACAAGAAGGAAGAGAAAAAACCUCAACAAAAGUCCCAAAUCCAUGAUCCCCUCACUUGUCCCCAGUGUCAGAGCAUUAUUGUUGUUCCAAUGGGCUAUCACGAGCGCAGCCCAUCAUGCUCGAUUAUGUGAUUUUUUUUCUAUAACUGAUAAGUAAAUUUCUAAUCACGAGACUUUCUUUUUUAUAUAUAUUACUGUUAAGUAAACUCAUAAUCAAAAUUAUGUAUUUUGGCUAGAGAGAUGAAAAUGGAAUGAUGUUUACUGACGUAAGCGUCUCACUUGGCUUAAAAUUAAAGUAAAAAAAAAUGCAUAAUUUUUUUUUUCCCAAUUAAAAGAAACUUGGCUGCGACUGUGGUGAUAGUUUGCAGUGGGGGUUUCGCUGCUUCACCAAGCUAUCCGAGUCUCAGACCCAACUUUGCAAGCAUCGGGAACUCUAUAAAAUAUUUGGUCUAUUGAAUUUUAGCUGGAGACAACGAAACAUGGCCUGCUCAGAUAAAACUCUCCGAGUCUUCUGCGUCGGCACCGCUGAUACCAAGCUCGACGAACUCCGAUUUCUAUCUGACUCCGUCAGUUCCAGUCUCACCUCUUUGUCCAACAACUCUUCUUCCAAGGUGGAGGUUGUGAUUGUUGAUGUUUCCGUGGGUCAGAAAGAGAUUAAUGGUAUUGGGGAAUUUUCUUUUGUAUCAAGAAAGGAUGUUCUUGCUUGCUUAAAGGUUUCAGUUGAACAAAACCAUAAUAUGCUUCCAGAUGAUAGGGCCCAAGCUGUGGCUAUAAUGAGUAAAGCACUUGAACAUUUCAUGAAGAACGCUCAGGAGACUAAUGUCGUUGCGGGUGCCAUUGGCCUUGGUGGUAGUGGAGGAACAUCUUUAUUAUCAUCUGCUUUUAGAUUGCUUCCACUUGGGAUGCCUAAGAUUAUUGUGUCUACUGUAGCUAGUGGUCAAACUGAACCUUAUGUUGGCACCUCAGAUUUGAUAUUGUUUCCAUCCAUAGUGGAUGUGUGUGGGAUUAAUAGUGUAAGUAGAGUUGUGUUAUCUAAUGCUGGAGCUGCUUUUGCUGGAAUGGUCAUUGGAAGGCUUGAGAGGGCUGGAGGUUCUCUUGGUGAGAGUGAGAAAUUAACUGUUGGUAUAACUAUGUUUGGAGUUACAACCCCCUGUGUAAAUGCUGUCAAAGAAAGAUUGGUGAGAGAAGGAUAUGAGACCUUGGUUUUCCACGCCACUGGGGUUGGGGGCAGGGCCAUGGAGUCUCUUGUUAGAGAGGGAUUCAUAAAGGGUGUUUUAGACAUCACUACAACAGAGGUUGCAGAUUAUGUAGUUGGAGGUAUUAUGGCUUGUGAUAGUUCCCGCUUUGAUGCCAUCUUAGAGAAGAAUAUCCCUUUGGUCUUGAGUGUAGGAGCCUUGGACAUGGUGAACUUUGGAGCUGUGGAUACAAUCCCUCCUAAUUUCCAGCAAAGAAAGAUUCAUAUCCACAAUGAACAGGUUUCGCUCAUGCGAACAACUGUGGAAGAGAAUAAAAAAUUUGCUGAAUUUAUAGCAGAUAAACUUAACGAGUCAUCAUCAAAGAUUCGUGUCUGCCUGCCACAAAAGGGUAUCUCAGCUUUGGAUGCACCUGGGAAACCAUUUUGUGACCCUGAGUCUACUGCUACUCUAAUAAGUGAACUACAGAAGCUAAUACAGAUAAAUGAAGACCGGCAGGUACUAUUAUUGUUUAAUCAAUGGCGAAUGUCAGAGUUCCAAUUUUCACUGUAUGCUUAAGCGUCUCUGGAUUUUCUAUAUUGCUUUGUGUGAUGAAAUUGAAAUUUGUUGAUAGUAGGUACAGGUGUGUUCUUAUCAUAUCAAUGACCCAGAAUUCGCAGAUACAUUGGUGGAUUCCUUUUUAGAGAUUAGUUUGGAGAACCCUAUGGAAUCCAGUCCUUCCCAAAUUGCUAUUUAUGAACCCUGCCUAGAGCAUAACAUUUCUACUGUGAAAUCAUCAAGCUGUGGGAUGAUCUGUUACAGCCCAAGCAACUACCCAGAUGCAAGACCAGGUUUAAUUGGACUUCUUCAUUAUGAUAACUUCUUAACAUAUUGGUUCUUUGUUGAUCAUGUGAGAAAGACCUGCUGAUCUUAAUCAAGUAUUAUUGUCUUAAUAGGAAAGUAUUAAUUCCACUGAUUGUACUUAUUCUUAACUCAAGAACAGCCAGAAAUAUAGGUAUAACAUCUGUCAGAUGCGUAUUUGUAAAAAUAUGACAAGUUAACCAAAAAAUUACAAUUAGUGGAAAAUAAAGACAGAUAUUUAAUCAGCUAACAAACAACUAUUUUUGUAACAGAAACUUUGCAGAAAACUCAGACAAUAUUGCAGCAAUUGAAAGAUCAAAUAGAAAAAGGAUUGCCCAUAAUAGGAGCUGGUGCAGGGACUGGGAUAUCUGCAAAAUUUGAGGAAGCUGGUGGAGUUGAUUUAAUAGUACUUUACAAUUCAGGGCGUUUUCGCAUGGCAGGAAGGGGUUCCUUAGCAGGCUUAUUGCCAUUUGCUGAUGCAAAUGCUAUAGUAAUUGAAAUGGCUAAUGAAGUUUUACCAAUUGUGAAGGGGGUACCAGUUCUUGCUGGAGUAUGCGGAACUGAUCCUUUUCGCCGAAUGGAUUACUUCCUAAAGCAGCUGGAGUCAAUUGGAUUCUCUGGUGUGCAAAAUUUUCCUACUGUUGGGCUAUUUGAUGGUAAUUUUAGACAGAAUCUGGAAGAGACAGGAAUGGGAUAUGGCUUGGAAGUCCAAAUGAUUGAAAAAGCUCAUAAAAUGGGUCUUCUCACAACCCCCUAUGCUUUUAACCAAAAUGAAGCAGGGGAAAUGGCAAAAGCUGGUGCUGAUAUCAUUGUGGCCCAUAUGGGGCUUACUACGUCUGGGUCUAUUGGUGCAAAAACAGCAGUAUCAUUGGAAGAGAGUGUGUUUCGUGUGCAAGCUAUUGCAGACGCUGCACAUAAUAUCAACCCCAACAUCAUUGUGCUUUGCCAUGGAGGUCCUAUAUCUGGUCCUAGAGAAGCAGAAUUCGUAUUGAAGAGAACCAAGGGAGUUCAUGGAUUUUAUGGUGCGUCAAGCAUGGAGAGAAUUCCUGUUGAACAAGCUAUAACGAGCACAAUGCAGCAGUAUAAAUCAAUUUCCAUCAAAUAAGGUUUGAUGUUUUGUAUGUCACCAAGUUUGUUAAAUGGUUAUGCAUGAUCAACAAUUUUCUUUUUUCAAUUUCUUUAAUCUUUUGCUCCCCUGCUUUAAGAGUGCAAAGAAAUAAAGGUGUCUGGAUGCAAAAACAAUAAAAGGCCAGUUUUAUCUAUUCACAAGAACAGUGUGCCCAUAUGCUAAACUGUAACAGAGAAUGAUAAUUAUGCUGCAUUGCAUUUGCUAGAUUACUAACUAGUUUCCUGCACCACAAGAAAACAUGCUUGCUUAUUUUCCAUCAUCCAAGGCUUUCAAAGUUAUGGGACAUCCACUCCUCAGUCUAGGAACAUGAGUCUUCUUUUCUAGGCUGGGAUCAUGAUCAUGAAUUGUCCACUUGUAUCCUCUAGUUAGCCGGUGCAGAAAUACCAACAUUAUCACUCUGGCCAUGUUCAUUCCCAGGCAAGUCCUAGGUCCUGAUCCAAAAGGUAUAAAACUGUAUGGUUUUUGCAUUUCAUCAAAUCUUGAAGGGUUGAAUUGCAUUGGAUCCUUGUACAAUUCUGGGUCGUAAUGAAUACAUGUUGCAUCUACAUUUACGUGCCAUCCUUUCUUUAUCUCAAAACAGAACUUCAGGAAUUUGGCUGCAAGUGUGCAGAGGAACUUGCCGUCAAUUAUGCAAUCAUUAAGUGCAACUCGAGGAAACCAUAACAGGACAUUUGACAUCCUCAAUGUUUCUUUCACAACCUUUAAGCCAUAGAACAUUUUGUUAAGAUCUUCAAUGGUGAGUGAGGCUCCAUCUAGCUUAUUUUUGGCAAUGGACAGUUGCUCUUCCCUAAGCCUGUCUUGGGCAUCUCUGUUCUCAUCUAGGAACUUGACACUCCACAUCAUAGCAGCAGCAGUGGUGGUCUGCGCUACAAUUAGCAGUGUUAACAGGUUAUCCAUGAUAUCGAGUCGUCAAGCUUUUCACUGGAUGGAUAUGAAUCUCUCUAUAAUAUGGACUGUAGGAAGUCAUCAUGGGUCUCCUUUCCUCCUCGUCUGUCACCAAUCAUCCCCUUGAAGGUUUCCAUGAGCCUUUGACGUGCCUGUUCUAUCUACUCCUUUUAGGCAUUUAUACAACUCAAAAUCAAGAACAAGUUAAAGAUAUGUUCAUCACAACUGGAUUGCUACCUCUACUUGUAUCCAGGAUUUCCCUUUCUUACCUCUACUUGUAUCCAGGAUUUCCCUUUCU
Molecule: unclassified non-coding RNA, 4748 nt
Filed under: Hevea brasiliensis (rubber tree)
Lineage: Eukaryota; Viridiplantae; Streptophyta; Magnoliopsida; Malpighiales; Euphorbiaceae
Source: RNAcentral